RNAcentral lists this ribosomal RNA (118 nucleotides) under Scophthalmus maximus (turbot). Lineage: Eukaryota; Metazoa; Chordata; Actinopteri; Pleuronectiformes; Scophthalmidae. The record is from RNAcentral.
GCUUACGGCCACACAGCCUGGUUCACUCCUGAUCUCGUUUGAUCUCGGAAGCUAAGAUAGGUUGGGCCUGGUUAGUACUUGGAUGGGAGACCGCUGGGAAUACCAGGUGCUGUAUGCU